Zonotrichia albicollis (white-throated sparrow) is the source of this 1180-nucleotide non-coding RNA. The record is from RefSeq and is a predicted model, not a curated record. NCBI's taxonomy places the organism in Eukaryota, Metazoa, Chordata, Aves, Passeriformes, Passerellidae.
CACUAUCCCUAUUCUUUUACACUCUAUCCUCCCACAAGGAGUCAUCUUUCUAAACUUUUGUCCACAACCAAAAAUAUCAGAUGUUUUUGGAGAAGAGUGGAAGUUGGGGCAAUCAAAUGUCCUCAUGCUGACAUGCUCUGGGAGAACACAGAAGCAGUAUUGGAGGUGCAGAAGCAACUGCAGAGAAUAAUCAGUGAGCAGCACUGAUCGUUCAAGCUCCUGCUUCCUCUGUGAAGGCGACUUGGCAAGCAAACCAGAGACAAAUGGAUUUCCACAUGACCUACUUAUCUGGCAAGAUAUAUAAAUAGUCUACUCCAGAAUUUUGGAGAACCCAUUCAAACACUUUGGAAUGGAGUUGUGGAAGAACACAAGGUCAGUGGAGGCAUCUUGCACGUGCUUCCUGAGCCGGGAGGCAGCAGCAGCAUCGUGCCCACGUGUGUGCAGCCAUCACAUUCCAUGUGACCACGGCAUCACCUCGCCGGUUAAAGUGCACUUUACUGAGCACUGCGUGCACUGCAGGUUGGUCACAACGUCCAGUCACAGCACAGGAACUGUUCCAGAUGGCAAUGGCUAUGUGGGAUCCAGGAAUGGCAACAUUCCAAACGUUCCCAAUCCUGCAGCAGGAUUUGGCACUGUAGGCAGAGGGUGGAUCCCUUCAGAGCUCCCUUCUUGAGCUGCUUUGCUGGCCACAUCUUCUUCUUCAAAACCAACAGCUGUCAUUGCAACAUCCUUGUUAAAAACAGGCAAAAUAACUUUCCCUUCAAGAAAAAAAUUCUCUUUCUUUCUCUCUUCUUCCUCAAAGGCCCUGUACUCAAAUACCAAAGACCUAUGUAGUGCAAAUAAUUGAACUUGAAACACCUUUAUCUUCCAGGUUUUCCAAGGAACAGCACAGAAAUAACCUGAGGGAACAAAGCGAGGGGAGAAGGUGGUCAUGUUCUCACAUGGGGUUACAGUCCUUCAAGCCCUGAAGGGAGGUUGCUUCUUCCAAGCACAAGCUGUAUUGCAGAAGAAUUUCAAAAUGGGGCAUGCGUAAUGUUGCUUAAACUUUCAAGACAGAAGUAUAGCUCAGUUAUUCCCAACAGAGGUCUUUGUGACUUUUAUCAUUAAGUUCAUGAAAUUAUGCCCUUGUCUAAGCUGUCUAAGUGUUAAAAUUUUUCUACAUGGAGGAACUGACUAGUGU